AGGUCCUUAGCUUAGUGGUAGAUUAUUUGACUGCAAGUCAAAAGGUCACCAGUUCAAACCUGAUAGAGCCUU
Molecule: transfer RNA, 72 nt
Filed under: Capsicum annuum
Lineage: Eukaryota; Viridiplantae; Streptophyta; Magnoliopsida; Solanales; Solanaceae
Rfam family: tRNA
About the family: Transfer RNA (tRNA) molecules are approximately 80 nucleotides in length. Their secondary structure includes four short double-helical elements and three loops (D, anti-codon, and T loops).
Source: Rfam by way of RNAcentral